GGGACACUUACGUUUGCAUAACAAGUUUUCUUAUCCACUGAGCUGUAUUUCCAGCCCUCCUACUAUUGAGACAAGGUCUCUCAUUGGCUGGGGAUUCACCAAUGAGGACAGGCAGGCCAGUCAACAAGCCUCAAGGAUGCAGCCUAUGCUUCCCCAGUGCUGGCAUACAGUUCCUGCCUCUAGGUUCUUGCUUCAGUUUCUGAUCUGGCCUUCCUUGAAGAUGAACUGUCAUCUGAAAGCCAAGCAAACUCUUUUCCUCCUCAAGUUGUUUUUGGUCAAUGUUUACCACAGCAACAGAGAGCAAAUGAGGACCACACACUGCUUAUCUAUGGGAACCGUCACUCAGUUUCCAGUUCAAGGUAUUGGAUUUCAGUAGCCUACCAUUAGGAGCAGAGGGCACAGAAGCUGUCAUGAUGCAGGUGGAAGAUGGAGAAAUAUCCUCAUCUCUUGCUCCAGUGUCUGGUUGGAGAACCUUGAGAACUGUGGAUGAGGCUGAGGUUCAUUGAAGUCAUUCUUCUGGGUACCAACAAGUAGCGAAGGCAGAGAGUGGGUGUGGCCGUCAUUACCAACUACCACUAGAAUCUGGAUAUGACUGCAGCCCUUGAGGUGAACGGUGCUUCUUACGGGCGGGUCCUGUGCUACCCUCACGCGGGGCUUUCAUGCUUCGGUUCCAGUUGAAAGGAGAUCGGACGGUCGCUGGCAACCCUUUGCAGUGCAGGCUUUGGAUUUCUCUUUAUUGUCCUCAGUGCCCAGCCUGGAGUGGAGAAGAUCUUUCUGGCUGACUUGAGGGGAGUAAAGAGGGGGUGGCCCCUAAGAGAUGCUGCAAUCAGCAUUCUGAGAUCAGCACCAGCGCUUGUCUCCUGAGAAGGUUCCAGUUCAAGGUUAUUUCACACACCUCCCUGCUAUGUGCUCUUCAGGGGCCCCAGCCCCAUGCUGUUCUUGAACUGCAUUGGAAUUUCCAUACCUUGCAGAACCUAGCUGUCAUCCCCAUAGUGACAGUUAAAACCUCUCUUCUAUCAACAAAACACAGACAUCAGGCUCGGUAGGUGAGUGAGCCUACCCACAAUGCCUCAGUGUUUCUCCCUUUCUGCCGCUGUCAUCAGGUAACCCUCUUCCUUCAUCCCCAGGGCCACCUAUCAGCCAGGCCCCCGCAGCUCUCCAUUCCUCCCCCAGCUUGCUCUUUAGUUGAGUCCCGAGUGCCUUUUCCAGCAAAACGGCUGAGAUUGACCUCAGGUGUUUUGGGAAAUAUCCAUGUCCAAUGCUUGCCUUCUAAUGAUGGCUCCGACAUAUUAUUUUAUUGACAUUUGAAACUGAAGACAAAACCAGCUGCUUCUGGAGGGAGGUGGGAAGUGAAACAUGAAAAGAAUCUCCCGUAUAACCGCUGCUCCCACCCCGCCCGAACCCAAACCAAUAAAAUGAGUCUAGCCAAUAA
Mastomys coucha (southern multimammate mouse) is the source of this 1432-nucleotide long non-coding RNA. RefSeq lists it as uncharacterized. The transcript has 2 exons. NCBI's taxonomy places the organism in Eukaryota, Metazoa, Chordata, Mammalia, Rodentia, Muridae. The record is from RefSeq and is a predicted model, not a curated record.